Molecule: long non-coding RNA, 497 nt
Filed under: Rattus norvegicus (Norway rat)
Lineage: Eukaryota; Metazoa; Chordata; Mammalia; Rodentia; Muridae
Description: long non-coding RNA NONRATT021426
Source: RNAcentral
UCUUCAGGGACACAGGUCUAGUACAAGAGAACUCUUGACGACUAAGCUCAGCCAGUCUUAAAAAACUGUGCUGUAUCUACAAAGCUUUAACUACAGUAGUUGAUAAGAAUGCCAACGAGAGCUGAGGGUGUAGAGCAAAGUAGUUCUAAGCUUCAGUUAAACUUCUUUAGCAUUGAUAUGAACCAUGGACAAGUAUAUUCUGCUGCCACAAAGACUGUAAAGUGCUUCAUUUCAACAGCUGAGGCAAGCCAAGUGAUCAUUAAUAAAGCUUUUCUUGCUUCCUUCAGUGGUGUUGGUAGUAAAAUGGAAGGUGUCUUGCUGCAGGUAACUAAUGAAGAAGUGGUCAACCACAGAGUCUUCAAGAAAUAAGAAAUUCUGUACCAUCUGAAAGUAGUUCUUGUUGGUGCCUUCAUUUAAGAAGCACUUUUAAGAUAAAAGGGAAUGUUUUCUGAUUAAAAACUUCAUUUAGUACAGGUUCUUAAUAAAAUUACAAAAAU